RNAcentral lists this ribosomal RNA (505 nucleotides) under uncultured Glomus. Its description in RNAcentral is "SSU rRNA". It matches the Rfam family "Eukaryotic small subunit ribosomal RNA", at positions 569 to 1077 of the family's 1831-position model. Lineage: Eukaryota; Fungi; Glomeromycota; Glomeromycetes; Glomerales; Glomeraceae. The record is from RNAcentral.
AGCAGCCGCGGUAAUUCCAGCUCCAAUAGCGUAUAUUAAAGUUGUUGCAGUUAAAAAGCUCGUAGUUGAAUUUCGGGAUUAGUACGCUGGUCAUGCCUUUGGUAUGUACUGGUGUUACUGAUUUCUACCUUCUGAAGAACCGUUAUGUCAUUCAUUUGGUGUGGCGGGGAAUCAGGACUGUUACUUUGAAAAAUUAGAGUGUUUAAAGCAGGCUCGCGCUUGAAUACAUUAGCAUGGAAUAAUGAAAUAGGACGUUGAUCCUAUUUUGUUGGUUUCUAGGAUUGACGUAAUGAUUAAUAGGGAUAGUUGGGGGCAUUAGUAUUCAAUUGUCAGAGGUGAAAUUCUUGGAUUUAUUGAAGACUAACUACUGCGAAAGCAUUUGCCAAGGAUGUUUUCAUUAAUCAAGAACGAAAGUUAGGGGAUCGAAGACGAUCAGAUACCGUCGUAGUCUUAACCAUAAACUAAUGCCGACUAGGGAUCGGAUGAUGUUAAUUUUAAUGUACUC